Molecule: ribosomal RNA, 578 nt
Filed under: Acinetobacter sp. CSeB0_12
Lineage: Bacteria; Pseudomonadati; Pseudomonadota; Gammaproteobacteria; Moraxellales; Moraxellaceae
Description: bacterial SSU rRNA
Rfam family: Bacterial small subunit ribosomal RNA
Source: RNAcentral
AGUCGAGCGGGGGAGAGUAGCUUGCUACUUUACCUAGCGGCGGACGGGUGAGUAAUGCUUAGGAAUCUGCCUAUUAGUGGGGGACAACAUCUCGAAAGGGAUGCUAAUACCGCAUACGUCCUACGGGAGAAAGCAGGGGACCUUCGGGCCUUGCGCUAAUAGAUGAGCCUAAGUCGGAUUAGCUAGUUGGUGGGGUAAAGGCCUACCAAGGCGACGAUCUGUAGCGGGUCUGAGAGGAUGAUCCGCCACACUGGGACUGAGACACGGCCCAGACUCCUACGGGAGGCAGCAGUGGGGAAUAUUGGACAAUGGGGGGAACCCUGAUCCAGCCAUGCCGCGUGUGUGAAGAAGGCCUUUUGGUUGUAAAGCACUUUAAGCGAGGAGGAGGCUACCGAGAUUAAUACUCUUGGAUAGUGGACGUUACUCGCAGAAUAAGCACCGGCUAACUCUGUGCCAGCAGCCGCGGUAAUACAGAGGGUGCAAGCGUUAAUCGGAUUUACUGGGCGUAAAGCGCGCGUAGGUGGCCAAUUAAGUCAAAUGUGAAAUCCCCGAGCUUAACUUGGGGAUUGCAUUCGAUA